Fukomys damarensis (Damara mole-rat) is the source of this 1035-nucleotide long non-coding RNA. RefSeq lists it as uncharacterized. The transcript has 3 exons. The record is from RefSeq and is a predicted model, not a curated record. Lineage: Eukaryota; Metazoa; Chordata; Mammalia; Rodentia; Bathyergidae.
UCUGCAAGUCACUAAGUUGCCUCGGCUGAGGCUGAAUUUGCCAUCUUCCUGCUUAAGCCACCACUGUACAAGCUUUCUGUGGAAAAGGCCAGACAAAGCAAGGUUGCCGUGCAGGCUGUAGUUUUCAGUACAGUGAUGAUCUGAGGUAUUGCAUGCUGCAGUCACAACAGCAGGAGAAAACCGAUGUUUUGGGAAGACGCGUUCUGUUUACUCUCCGACUUCACGUGGCCCCUGGCCCAUCCCCACAUAGCUUUUGGUGGACAAGUGUCCCAGUGUGGCAAGAGGGAGCUCCCUGGGUUCCGAGGACAGGCUGCAGGCUCGAGGUCUCCCAAGGAGCAGAAGAGAGGGAAGAUCUGAUGUCAGGAGGCCGGCACAGCAAUGCCUUCUCCUCUUCACCUCCUGCGUUAUUUCAGGGAGACAGGGCGGGUUUGCCCAUUUGACAGGUGGGAAAAACGGGGGCACAGAGAGGCUCAGUGCCGCAGCUCCUGGCCCUGCCUGUGAGUGGCAGAGUUCAGACCUCUGGCCCUAAGCGUCCCCUCCCUUCUGUCCUGCCAUUGCCUGUAUCACAGCUGAUGUGAGCAGCGUCACUUGCCAAGACGACCCUGCUUCUUCACCCUUUCCCGUGCCAGGCCCUUGCCCACGUGACCGCACCGUGCCCCACCCGUGCAGGGGAGGGGGAGAGGAGGGGAGGGCGGUGCGUGCGCUCCCGUCCGGUCGGGAGGUGGUUCGGCACCUGACGUGGAGACAGGGUGUGGCAACGCCGAUGUGACGAGAUCCCGGGCAGCGCCAGAUAAUUCCACGGACCCCGUGGGCGGACCGUCUCACUGCUCCUUCAGGAUGUGGACGGUGUGAAGCAGAUGAGACACGAGAGGCCCCCACUAUCCUGACUCUUCACGGUACCCACUCUGUCUCCCAGACCAGGGCGCACUUUUAUUUUUGCUUUCACCCUUUCCGCUCUCUGUUGGGCCCAAGUGUGCUCUGCAGAGCCAGUUCUUCCCUCGUCCCUUCACCCCUCACUGUUCGAAUAAACUUUUG